UUGCGCUCUUGCUACAAGUCCAAAGAAAAACUCACAUCAGGUGCGUAGGCCAAAAAAUGUCAAGAAGACACCAGGAAAUGCUCGCACACCUAUCACAUAAAUGGAAUGUCCACAUCCACAAAACGGUCUUCAAUUCGAUGACUCAUUUCUUCAUUUAGCUCGGUGUUUAGCCUGCAGCUCUUACGCUUUGAUGAGAACAUUAAACCAUGACAGUUCAUCCAGCUCAUCCAGUUUUACAACUUGACAUAUUUUGUUUUACAGGAUAUGACCUGUUAUGGUAGAAAUGAUGAUGCUGUUUCAUGAUUGGCUGUAUGUGAACAAGACAUUGUAUAAAUGAAAAGGAGGUCUUAUCUGUUGGACAGACACUUCACAUCAUCUGACACCAACUAACGCUGAAUUUACAAAGGGACAUCACCCAAGCUGAACUGCCACAGACUCGGAAGCAGCUGUAGAGCCGGAGUAUCUGCCGUCCUGCUGAGAAAUCCAGAGCAUCACAACGCCCAGAGAAAUACAAGAUGGCUGCUGGCCGUAUCGCUC
Molecule: non-coding RNA, 537 nt
Organism: Epinephelus lanceolatus (giant grouper)
Lineage: Eukaryota; Metazoa; Chordata; Actinopteri; Perciformes; Serranidae
Source: RefSeq, a predicted model, not a curated record